UCCCAUGUGGUCAGGUGGUUAUGAUUCGUGGUUUUCACCCACGCGUAAUGGGUUCGAUUCCCGGUUUGGGAA
This 72-nucleotide transfer RNA is filed under the name Angiostrongylus costaricensis. It matches the Rfam family "tRNA". From Rfam's summary of the family: Transfer RNA (tRNA) molecules are approximately 80 nucleotides in length. Lineage: Eukaryota; Metazoa; Nematoda; Chromadorea; Rhabditida; Metastrongylidae. The record is from Rfam by way of RNAcentral.